CGUCUACGAGUUUGAUCAUGGCUCAGAACGAACGCUGGCGGCAGGCCUAACACAUGCAAGUCGAGCGAACCCUUCGGGGUUAGCGGCGGACGGGUUAGUAACGCGUGGGAAUAUACCCUUUGGUACGGAAUAGCCUCGGGAAACUGAGAGUAAUACCGUAUGUGCCCUUCGGGGGAAAGAUUUAUCGCCAAAGGAUUAGCCCGCGUUGGAUUAGAUAGUUGGUGGGGUAAUGGCCUACCAAGUCUACGAUCCAUAGCUGGUUUGAGAGGAUGAUCAGCAACACUGGGACUGAGACACGGCCCAGACUCCUACGGGAGGCAGCAGUGGGGAAUCUUAGACAAUGGGCGCAAGCCUGAUCUAGCCAUGCCGCGUGGACGAUGAAGGCCUUAGGGUUGUAAAGUCCUUUCAGAUGGGAAGAUAAUGACGGUACCAUCAGAAGAAGCCCCGGCUAACUCCGUG
Molecule: ribosomal RNA, 459 nt
Filed under: uncultured bacterium
Lineage: Bacteria
Description: bacterial SSU rRNA
Rfam family: Bacterial small subunit ribosomal RNA
Source: RNAcentral